CCUACGGGUGGCAGCAGUGGGGAAUAUUGCACAAUGGGGGAAACCCUGAUGCAGCGACGCCGCGUGAGUGAGGAAGUAUUUCGGUAUGUAAAGCUCUAUCAGCAGGGAAGAAAAUGACGGUACCUGACUAAGAAGCCCCGGCUAACUACGUGCCAGCAGCCGCGGUAAUACGUAGGGGGCAAGCGUUAUCCGGAUUUACUGGGUGUAAAGGGAGCGUAGACGGUUAAUCAAGUCAGAAGUGAAAACCCAGGGCUCAACCUUGGGACUGCUUUUGAAACUGCCUGACUGGAGUGCUGGAGAGGCAAGCGGAAUUCCGAGUGUAGCGGUGAAAUGCGUAGAUAUUAGGAAGAACACCAGUGGCGAAGGCGGCUUGCUGGACAGUAACUGACGUUGAGGCUCGAAAGCGUGGGGAGCAAACAGGAUUAGAUACCCCUGUAGUC
Molecule: ribosomal RNA, 440 nt
Filed under: uncultured bacterium
Lineage: Bacteria
Description: partial 16S ribosomal RNA
Rfam family: Bacterial small subunit ribosomal RNA
Source: RNAcentral